RNAcentral lists this long non-coding RNA (247 nucleotides) under Elaeis guineensis (African oil palm). RNAcentral describes it as "long non-coding RNA (EGUI_LNC016713)". The record is from RNAcentral. Lineage: Eukaryota; Viridiplantae; Streptophyta; Magnoliopsida; Arecales; Arecaceae.
UGAGAUAUUGUCUUUGAGAAAAUAUAAAAAAUAAAUUCUACAUCUAAAAAGCAGACUGAAGUGAUAGUUUCUAUAGUUAUUUUCUAGAAUAACAUUCAGGAGGAAUCACCAUUUUAUGAAAUUUCAUCCAAUAAUAUUUCUAUUAUCGAAGAAGCAACUAUCUAACUACCGUCACAAGUAGAUCAAGGGAUAGCUUUCUAGAGAUCUACUAGAAUAAGUAAAUCUAUUAUACCUCUGAUUAUAUGGC